AGGCGCCGGGCCUGCCGGCCAGCACUUGCAUAACGCGACCUGACUCACCGCCGCCCGGGGCAGGGAGGGUCCCUUUGGGCGGGAGCCUCACCUCCGGGGCCGCCGCGGGCGGUGGAGCUGCCGCGCGGGGUGGCCUCGGCCGAGCCGCGGAUACAAGCCCUGGCCUGGUCACCCGGCACUCGUGCCAGCGACCGCCAGCUGCGGCCUGGGGUGGCCUCGGGGCCCGGUGGCUCUGGCUGCAGGCGCAGAAACGAACCCUGGUCAGAGCAGGAAAUACUUGAGCAACCUCGGUGGUCGCCUACUUACUCUGUGGCACUUUGCUCAAACCGCUUUGAAACACGUCUACCAAUUGUUUAUGAUGCAAUUUUAUUUCAAAGCCAUAGUGGAAUUUUGUUUUGUCUUCAAAAUACCUAAGUUAGCGUUCCUCGCAUGGGUCAAAGAAGUCAGAGGAUGCAGCAUUUGAUUGAAUAAAAGUUAGUGGUGUGUCGAAGAAGCAGGCGCCUUCCUAGAACUCUCUGGACAUCCACCUGCCUGGUUCUCUGCUUCCACCUGCCACCUUGCCCUCCAUCCCUGCCUCCUCCCCCAACUUGACUCUUUAGGGUGUCUCUGGAGAGCCAAUAAUGAUGCAUUUAACUCCUUACUGCCCCAGAGGGAGGAAAGCCCUGUUCUGGCCAGCCGGCUACUUAGGAGAUGUUCUGGUUAGGCCAGUUUUAUCACAGGACAAAUCAUCCCAAAUAGCUCAAAUAAGAGCUGCCCCUGCAGGGCCCGUGUGGGGCGAGGUACACGUGGCAGUGUAUGUGCACCCUGGGUGGGAAAUGACUUUCGGGCAUCUUUCUCCUGUCCAAUCAGUGCUUGGACCCCCUCCUCAACAUUCCAGAGUCAAGCCCUUCCAGCUUCUUCUCCAACAGGUCCAGUGAUGGAGGGAGAGCUCUUGGCCGAGUGUAACUGCCCUUGGAUGGUUAUUACUACCAGAAAAGUUCUCCCAGGAACCGCAUCCCUUUCAUCUGUUUCCCCUAGAACAUGUGCUGGCGGUCCUUGCACACGCUACGUGCUGAAUAAAUGCAGGGAAUUUCAGCGCACCGUAUGGCGAUUGUUUCUGCAACAUGUUUUUUCAUGUGUUAGAUGUGUAAGAGGUGCUGUAACUGUUCCUUCUCCUCUCUCUCUUUUAUUGAUUUGUCGUGAACCUUGGUGUCCCAGAUACCAGCAAAGAAAAACAGUUUAUUUUGGCAUUCUCUCUCAAAUUUCUUCCUGACUGCAAAUAGGUGAAUACAGGUCAACUGAUGUUUUUAACAUCGGUGCUCUGAAAUUUGUCCUCAUAAAGUAAUUUUUUUCAAAUAUGCGUGUAUCUAUAUAAUAAAAACAGGAAAAGAUGUUCAUGGUGAUUACCUCUGUGUGAUAGGAUUAAGGACAUUUGAAGGUUGUUUUUGUUUUUGUUUUUUGAUUUGUACCUUUUUGUACUUUCCAAAGUUUCCUAGAGUGAAAAUGUUUAAUCAGAAAACAAAACAAAUAUUCUCAUUACAAACAUUUUUCUCCCUCCCCCCGGAAGUAAAGUUAUGUUUUAAAUUAUGGAUCAUAGAUGAUAUACACAAAAGUUCAUUUGCUGCCAUACUUCAUGGAAAAGGCAGACCAUGAGUCUUUCAUCUUGGUAUCUGCCCCUCCCCCAACUUUUCCAUGAGAUUUAUUAAGAGACUUUCACUUAGUAGGUACUCACUUAACAGACCUUGACUUCAUUUGUUUUAUUGAAAUGAAUCACUUCAUAAAAGAUUUAUUUAAAAAGACUUGGCCAGAGGUCAUUCUUUCUACAGUAUAAUUUCUCAGGAUUCAGCGCUUAUCACAGAGGUGGGAGCUAGUCUUCCAGCAAAAAAUGUGCAUUCCUCUUCCAUGGUGGAGAGUUGUGGAGAAGAGACUUUUUUGCCAGAAGGCACCUCCCCACUUCCUGUAGCUCCAUAAAGCCACAUGCCUAAGUCUGGUGGAUGGAAUGUGGACAAAAGUGCUGUGUGUCAGUCCCAGACAGGGCUUGUAAAAGCUGCCUGUCCAAUCAUCCGUGCCGUCUCUCUUCCCUCAUCUGCCAGCCGGCAGAGACGCCACAACCCGGGACCCCACCAGUGACUAACUUUUUGUGAAUGAAAAAUAAACUUCCGUUGGGGUAAGCUGCUGAGAUUUGGGGGGUUUACCUGUAACAGAAUAGUGUAACCUUAAUGAAUACAGCAACAAGCAAGUCACUAGCUCCUAGGAAAUAUGGAAAGAUGUUUUACCAUAAUUGAAAGAAAAGCUAAGGCAAAGAACUUUAUGUCCUUACCCUCGUAACAAUUAAGCAUUUCAAACCAACUCCAUUUCAUGCAAACUGACAUUUACAUCCACAUCCUGACAGAAAGGCCGAGGAAAAUGAAAAACAAGGAAAUUGGGUAGCGUUUAUCUUCUGACUACAUUUAAAAGAUGCCAAAAUAAUUGGUGGGAAAAUGAAAAGAUUAUUCGGCCAACUUUUUCAGGUGCAAAGGGUCAAACUGAUUUUUUCAACAGGUUUCUUUUCAGUGGUUACAAAGUCAUCAGUCAGUGUCCUCAAUUUAGGUGAAAAUAACAUGGAUCCCACCAAGUGAACUAUUCCUGAGACACCUGGUCCCACCCAUCAAUUCGGUGUGUACAGAGAUUCCUGUGAGCAGAUGUGUAAGGUGAAAGGAGCCCUCUGCACUUGGCUGCCCGGAUGUAACUGAAAUCCCUGCCUUUGGGGGGUGCCUUUUGGUGAUGACCAAUAGUGGGAACAGAGAACCUGGCUGAGGUGGAACUGAAGAGUGUGUUCAGUAUAAUGAUCUGAAACGUACUUGGUUAAUCCAGGGUAUUGUUGCUAGUUUUGUGUGGGUGCUUCAAUCUCAUGUGCAUAUGAUUUGGCUAUUAUAUAAGCACCACUUCCUGUAGAAAUAAGUCAACUGCAGUAGAAAAUGUUAGCAACAAUAGAAGUAUUACAUCUGUUUAUUAGUAUAGUAUACUACUGAGAAACGCAAACUUGUUAAGCAGAAAGUUUAAGGAAGUGAAACCAUUCUUUUGUACAUCUGUAGGCUUUUAAAAGAGUUCCUGGAAUUUUUAUUUAACUUUUUCUUAAAUUGGUGUUUAAUAACAUUUUCAUAUAUAUAUAUAUGUGUGUGUGUGUGUGUGUGUGUGUGUGUAUAAUUCCUUAAAGGAAGUGUCUUUGUAUAUUCCCCUACAGCAGCUAGUAUGAGGUCUUGUGUACCAGUGGGUACACUUUUUCAUUUAAUCCUAUUUAAACUGGCAGUUUGGGGGUAGGUCACUAUCCUUACUAGCUGUGUGACCUUGAGCUAGUUAACUUAAUUUCUCUGUGCUUCAAUUUCUCGCCUGUAAAAUACAGACAAUCACAGUACCUACCUCCUUAAGUUCUUGUAAGAAUUAAAUGAGUUAAUAUAUGUAAGGGUCUUAGAAGAGUACCUGGCACCGAUUAUAUAUUAUAAUGUUAGCUAUUCUUAUGAUCACUUUUUUAUUGUCAAUACCUUGCGGCUUAUAUUUCUAAAAUUAUUCUGAGUAAGUGGAAUGUUGCUUUCACAUUGACCUAGUUGUUGCUUCAGAGAUGUUUUAUCUAAAUAAAUGAUAAUUAAUGUCUGUAAUAUCUUAGAAAUGUUGACAUAAAAAUUAAACAAUGAAGUUCAACAAAGUCAACAAGUAUUGUGUAGUAUUAAAACCUCAGGGGUGCCUGCGUGGCUCAGUCAGUUAAGUGUCUGACUCUUGAUUUCGGCUCAUGUCAUGAUCUCACCACUUGUGAGUUUGACCCCCGCAUCAGGCUUUGUGCUGACAGUGCACAGCCUGCUUGGGAUUCACUCUCUCUCUGCCCCUCCCCCCGCCUCAAAAAUAAAAUAAGCAUUUAAAAAAAUUUUUAAUUCAUUCUAAGUAGUAUGUUUGGUGAUUUAAAAAAAUAUUGUUAUUUUCUUACAUUUGUUUUUUUCAGUGCCUUGUACUGAGCAGCCAAUAAGUAACACAAAGUUCUUGUCAGCACUGGCCAGGGACUCUGCAGGAACCACCCUGAGCAAGAAGGGCAGUGGAGACAAUAGGACUUGGUCAAAGACAGCAGGAGAGAGAUAGGCAGGCUUUCAGAAUUUCCCUUAAAAAAAAAAAUCUUUGUAUAAAAUGCCAUGCAGUACUCAAAGUAGUCCCCAGUGACCCCUCUUUCCUUGCUUGCUUUUUUCUUAAGUUUAUUUAUUUUGAGUUGGGGGGAAGGAAAGGGCAGAGAGAGAGGGAGAGAGAGAAACCCAAGCAGGCUCUGCAUUGUCAGCACAGAGCCCAACACGGGGCUCGAUCUCACGAACUGUGAGAUCAUGACCUGGCUGAAAUCAAGAGUCGGACAUUUAACUGACAGCCCUUCAGGUGCCCCUCACUUGCUUUUUCUAACUUAAACAAUUGCCUGCUCCUGUCAAUUGAUGCCUAGAAUUGGGUCUCACAGUUUUUCAUUCCCAAGCAACCUCACCCAUAGCCUAUGAAAAUAACCUUAAAAAUUUUGUCUAUUGGGGUGCCUGGGUGGCUCAGUUGGCUAAGCCUCAGACUUUGGCCUAGGUCAUGAUCUCGUGGUUUGUGAGUUUCAGUCCCAUGUUGGGAUCUAUGCUGACCGCUCAGAGCCUGGAGCCUGUUUUGGAUUCUGUGUGUCUCUCUCUCUGUCCCUCCCUGCUCACACUCUUGCUUUCUCUCAAAACCAAGUAAACAUUAAAAAAAAUUUUUUUUAACUUUACGAAUGCAUGAAUUUAUUACACAAAUUAUAUAUGUUCAUUAUAGACACUUGAGAAAAAUCAUAUAGGCAAAAAAAAGUUUAAUGUGAUAAAUCCCAUCACUUUGAAAUAAUCACUGUUACCAUGCUGGUAUACACACCUCCAUGCAUGUGUAUAUAAGUGGAAUUGUAUGGCAAAACUAUCUUGCAGUUUACUACAUAUCGUAAAUACUUCUUCAUAUCAAUAAACAGGCCUUUACAGUAGGGUUAUUAAUAAAUGUAGUUUCUAUUCUGUGGAUACAAUGCCAUUUACUUACUCAAACUCUUAUUGUUGAAUAUCUAUUUUUGAUCUUUUACUUUUAUAUUUGUACUUUUCAUGAACACCUUGUAACAACAUUAAUCACAUACAAUCUUAAUUAUUUUUGCAAGAUAAAUUCAUAAAAGCAGAAUUGCAGGGUCAAAGCCUAUACACAUUUUUAGAGUAUUUGAUAAUGAACAAAAUGCAAUAAAGCUGCUUACUCUGUAUCCCUUUGUCCAGUAUUUCUUUCCUGCACCUCAUCUUUCUAAGCACUACUAGAUUAGAUUUGUGGAAAAGUACCCUCAUAAUGUUUUUUCCUGCCCCCCAAACUUACCCGGGUUCAAAAUCCUCAGCCUCGUCUCUGAGACUCCUGUAAUCUGAGCCCAACCUGCCUUUUCAUAUUCAGCUCUCACUCUUCCCCGUUACUCUACACCCCAUGCUAUUGCUCCUGUUGUGACUACCAUCUGGAACACACUCGAUUUCCUCCCCAUCUCCACCCAUUAAUCCCUUUUCUGAACUCUCAUAGCCAUACGUAUGUACCUCAUUUCUGGCAUUUAUCAUGCUCUGUUCCAUGUCUUACAACUCUUUAUGUAUUACUUUUAACUCCCGUAUUAUACCACAAGUGUGUGUGAAAUUGGGAUCAAGACUUACUUGUUGCCUGCAUCCCCCCUGAGUAGAAGUGUAACAGUCAGGAUUGAUUUGGAUGUGCUGCAGUAACAAAUAGCCCUCAUCUCUCAGAGCUAAAAACAAAAAAGGUUUAUUCCUCACUCAUGCUACAUGUCCCAUCUCAGGUCAGAAGGAGGCUCUGUUCCAGGACAUCCUCACUUGGAAUCAGGAGGCCCCUCCAGCUGGAACUGAUGUGGCACCAGGAAAAUGGAGAGUAGAGGGUCUUAAGCUGGCAAUUAAUCGUUCUUACCUGAAAGAGACAUUUCUGCCCACAACCCAUAGGCAAAGUUGAUCACGUGGCCCUAUAGGGGAGGAGGGCAGGAAAGAAUAACCUCAUAUAACGAGGAGGAGGAGAGAAUAAGAAGAGGGGGAACAUGAAGUCUCUACCACGGAGGCUAAUAUGGUGGCUUGUGAUGGACAAUCAAUAGACAUGUUGAAAGAAUGAGCAAAUCACAAAUCAGGAGUAAUUAUAAAAGCAAAAAUAAAGAAUAGUAGCAAUAAUAGAAUGUGUUUCAUUUUUAAAUUAAUUUUUAUUUUUAUAAGUAGAGGAAUGUUAACAUCUGUGGGUAUUUCGUUUUUCCUAUUAAGUAUGUAUCUGCAUAUGGAAUAUAGAUAUGUGUUUUUUCCUCUCUGCUUAUGAGGGAAGGAUGGAACUAGGGAACUGUGAGUACACAACAUACUUUUGGUAGAAGUUGGAGCUGUGCCUUAGGCACACAAAAGAACUAGGUAGUGUUAUGCCCAGAAUCUGUGAUUCCCAAA
Long non-coding RNA from Acinonyx jubatus (cheetah), 6425 nucleotides. RefSeq lists it as uncharacterized. The record is from RefSeq and is a predicted model, not a curated record. NCBI's taxonomy places the organism in Eukaryota, Metazoa, Chordata, Mammalia, Carnivora, Felidae. The transcript is spliced from 3 exons.